Molecule: ribosomal RNA, 253 nt
Filed under: uncultured bacterium
Lineage: Bacteria
Description: partial 16S ribosomal RNA
Rfam family: Bacterial small subunit ribosomal RNA
Source: RNAcentral
UACGGAGGGUGCAAGCGUUAUCCGGAUUCACUGGGUUUAAAGGGCGCGUAGGUGGGUUGGUAAGUCAGUGGUGAAAUCCCCGAGCUUAACUUGGGAACUGCCAUUGAUACUAUCAGUCUUGAAUACUGUGGAGGUUAGCGGAAUAUGUCAUGUAGCGGUGAAAUGCUUAGAUAUGACAUAGAACACCAAUUGCGAAGGCAGCUGGCUACACAAAUAUUGACACUGAGGCUCGAAAGCGUGGGGAGCAAACAGG